Molecule: ribosomal RNA, 853 nt
Filed under: Escherichia coli
Lineage: Bacteria; Pseudomonadati; Pseudomonadota; Gammaproteobacteria; Enterobacterales; Enterobacteriaceae
Description: partial 23S ribosomal RNA
Rfam family: Bacterial large subunit ribosomal RNA
Source: RNAcentral
GCGGGACACGUGGUAUCCUGUCUGAAUAUGGGGGGACCAUCCUCCAAGGCUAAAUACUCCUGACUGACCGAUAGUGAACCAGUACCGUGAGGGAAAGGCGAAAAGAACCCCGGCGAGGGGAGUGAAAAAGAACCUGAAACCGUGUACGUACAAGCAGUGGGAGCCUCUUAAUGGGGUGACUGCGUACCUUUUGUAUAAUGGGUCAGCGACUUAUAUUCUGUAGCAAGGUUAACCGAAUAGGGGAGCCGAAGGGAAACCGAGUCUUAACUGGGCGUUAAGUUGCAGGGUAUAGACCCGAAACCCGGUGAUCUAGCCAUGGGCAGGUUGAAGGUUGGGUAACACUAACUGGAGGACCGAACCGACUAAUGUUGAAAAAUUAGCGGAUGACUUGUGGCUGGGGGUGAAAGGCCAAUCAAACCGGGAGAUAGCUGGUUCUCCCCGAAAGCUAUUUAGGUAGCGCCUCGUGAAUUCAUCUCCGGGGGUAGAGCACUGUUUCGGCAAGGGGGUCAUCCCGACUUACCAACCCGAUGCAAACUGCGAAUACCGGAGAAUGUUAUCACGGGAGACACACGGCGGGUGCUAACGUCCGUCGUGAAGAGGGAAACAACCCAGACCGCCAGCUAAGGUCCCAAAGUCAUGGUUAAGUGGGAAACGAUGUGGGAAGGCCCAGACAGCCAGGAUGUUGGCUUAGAAGCAGCCAUCAUUUAAAGAAAGCGUAAUAGCUCACUGGUCGAGUCGGCCUGCGCGGAAGAUGUAACGGGGCUAAACCAUGCACCGAAGCUGCGGCAGCGACACUAUGUGUUGUUGGGUAGGGGAGCGUUCUGUAAGCCUGUGAAGGUGGCCUGUGAGGGUU